Molecule: ribosomal RNA, 184 nt
Filed under: Klebsiella pneumoniae
Lineage: Bacteria; Pseudomonadati; Pseudomonadota; Gammaproteobacteria; Enterobacterales; Enterobacteriaceae
Also listed under: 1 other name
Description: partial 16S ribosomal RNA
Rfam family: Bacterial small subunit ribosomal RNA
Source: RNAcentral
ACUUAAAUUGAAGAGUUUGAUCAUGGCUCAGAUUGAACGCUGGCGGCAGGCCUAACACAUGCAAGUCGAGCGGUAGCACAGAGAGCUUGCUCUCGGGUGACGAGCGGCGGACGGGUGAGUAAUGUCUGGGAAACUGCCUGAUGGAGGGGGAUAACUACUGGAAACGGUAGCUAAUACCGCAUAA